UUCGCAAUGCCCGAAAGGGUGACGAAGCGACGCCGCGUGUGGGAAGAAGGCCUUCGGGUUGUAAACCACUGUUGGGAGUUAGGAAGUGUGGAGGUGUUAAUAGCGCUUUCACUUGACUAAAGCUCCAGAGGAAGCCACGGCUAACUCUGUGCCAGCAGCCGCGGUAAUACAGAGGCGGCAAGCGUUGUUCGGAAUUAUUGGGCGUAAAGAGCACGUAGGCGGCUCUGCAAGUCAGCUGUGAAAGCCUUCUGCUUAACGGAAGAACGGCAGUUGAAACUACAGGGCUUGAGUGCGGGAGGGGAGAGUGGAACUUCUGGUGGAGCGGUGAAAUGCGUAGAUAUCAGAAGGAACGCCGGCGGCGAAAGCGGCUCUCUGGUCCGUAACUGACGCUGAGUGUGCGAAAGCUAGGGGAGCAAACGGGAUUAGAUACCCCGGUAGUCCUAGCCGUAAACGAUGGGCACUAAGUAGAGGGGUUUUA
Molecule: ribosomal RNA, 478 nt
Filed under: uncultured Planctomycetales bacterium
Lineage: Bacteria; Pseudomonadati; Planctomycetota; Planctomycetia; Planctomycetales
Description: bacterial SSU rRNA
Rfam family: Bacterial small subunit ribosomal RNA
Source: RNAcentral